Bombyx mori (domestic silkworm) is the source of this 2781-nucleotide long non-coding RNA. RefSeq lists it as uncharacterized. The transcript has 2 exons. The record is from RefSeq and is a predicted model, not a curated record. NCBI's taxonomy places the organism in Eukaryota, Metazoa, Arthropoda, Insecta, Lepidoptera, Bombycidae.
AGCACGUGCAAUAGGAGUGACUCACACAAGCCAGGUGCGCCGGCCGUGUCGUUCCACUCGUAAACAACAGCUGCAACAGAGGUGACUCAUAAGCCAGCUGCGCCGGCUAGUAUAAAAAGGCGGAACGUGCCUUGAAAUGAACAUUCGUUGGACUGCGCUUGCCUGGUGCACUUACUAUAUCCUUGUUACGUUGUGUGAUUCAGUGACUGUUGUACGUACUGGUUAAAGUUGGACAAGUGUUAAAGUGAAUUGUUAAGAUAACAUAUUGUUGAUUAAAUCAAGAAUCAAAAAAGUGACAUCGUUUUACUUGGUGUUCAACAAGAUAAUAUCUACCCUCAAGCUUACAUCAGAAGUGAGAUCAGGACUCUACUCUCACUGGCGUGACGUGUUUGAACAUGUUCGAAGUACAGCAAAAAAAACAUGAUGCAGAUCAGAAUACUAGUAGUGGUACGCCACAAGAGCGUGAAUGCAGCAUACGUAAGUCGUGUAAUAACGUCUCUAUUACCUCGAUGGAAGAUCUGAGCCACGAAGAAAUCGUCACAUCUUACGUUCUGGCUCAUGUUUCCCAGUUUGACUGUCGACUUCAUCACAUGGCAUUUACUAACGGAAAUACAACACGUAACAAGCUAUUGCAAGAAAUUAAGGCAAGUGCAAAUCUUAAGUGAAACUUCGAUCGCAAUAAUGGAUCUGUCAUGACGAGUGGGUAGUUCCGACACGAAUCGUUUUUAAGCCAAUGACUACUGCUAGAGUUACAUGGCACUAGUACAGUAAACCAGGACAUGAGACUGUGAAUUGUCGCUGAAAUUUUAGAAUCUACUCGAUUCAAUACCAAUAACACUACACGUUCGAUGACUUCGGGCUCCAGCAAGCAAGCAAACAAGAAAGCAAGCAAGUUUCCGUGGGGAAGAAAAAUUGACACAUCUGAAGUCGUCGUGACCUGUAAGAUAAGACGUCCGGUGCGUUCGUGUCUGGCGAUGCGGCGGUGUUCGGGUUCCGCUGGCGGAUGCAGGUUUUUCCGGUGAAGUGCGUGCUUGUGCGUGCUUGACAAGUGUUCGCGGUUGGCUUCCUCAGUGUGGGAGUAACAUCGUGUAAGAGAGGUGGAACCCGUAAAAUUGUAGUUUGCGUGGUGGCUGGUAAGAUUUGUUGCGGUAAGAAGUUUGCAUGGUGGUAAAAUGUCUUGUGAGUCUGCACAGGUAGCCGGAGGUGAGACUUCCGCGGUCGCGGCCCACCCAGUCCGCGAGAACCGGGCAGAUCGCCUCGACGGUACGGAGGCCGGCCGACGGGUCCGCCAAACUACGAGACCACGCCUCCAGCACGGACUGCCGAUAUUAGAGCCCCCGCGCUCCGGCUGCACUUGCGCUAGGGCGCGCCGCCUCGUAGGAGACUGUGAGGUAUCAUUGAAUAACUCUGACUGCGAUCGCGCGCUGCCGGCGUCGCAGCGCGGCGACGUUCUCGUGGGUAAGGACGUGGCACCAGACGGGUGCUCCGUAUAGUGCCAUCGACCGCACGGGUACCAUCACCCUGCGUAUUUCUGCCGUGAAGCAGUGGUGUAUUUCGGUUUGAAGGGUGGGGCAGCGGUUGUAACUAUACUGAGACCUUAGAACUUCUAUCUCAAGGUGUGUGGUGCGUUUACGCUGUGGAUGUCUAUGGGUUCCAGUAACCACUUAACACAAGGUGGGCUGUGAGCUCGUCCACACAUUAAUACGAAGAGCAUAAUCAAACGAAAUUAGAUACGAAGUUUAAAGGGCCGUUUAAAGUAGUUGAAGUAUUGGAUGGUGUCGAUUUAAUUUUGACUCUCACACAUUCGCUUAAGGCUCGAGCUGCUACUUGCCUCACAAAAAUACAGCCUGCAAAACCUGAACAACCUCCUCAUCCGUGGGCGCCCGGCUCUCGCCUGCAAGUCAGCUGUUACGUGUGCGGUGAUGCGAGUCAUGUAGCUUCUGGGUGUUCCAUGCGCUACAAGAAGAAAAACUACACUGCUCCAGGUGCUGUGGCAGGUCCAACCAGAGACGUCAACGUGUGUUCCAGAGCUUCAGUGUGUUACAGAUAAGUGGUUUUGGCUCCCCCUUUAUGUUCCAUUCAGGGUCAGAAUGUAGUCUUAUAAAACAAAGCCAUAGUAAUUUAUUCAAUGGUAAGCGGUUUCAUGAACAAGUCACCGUAGUCACCCUAGACACGUCCUUACGGAUCCAUCAGAUCCAAUAACUCUUGCAUUAGAUACCUUCAGCUCUAACACUAGGAGCAGGCUGAGGAACCCCAGUAAUCGUACUCGUCGAACUCGACAAAGAGGUCGACGUGCAACCUAACCCAUGCAUCAGCCCACUGAGUUUCUCGCCGGAUCUUCUCAGUGGGUCGCGAUUCCGAUCCGGUAGUAGAUUCAUUCGCGAAGCAAUUGCUCUUGAGUUGUUAGGUCUGUGCGGAGUCGCUCGGGCAGUUGUUAGCAAAUCCCACCCCUCUUGGCUGAGCCUUUGCUCGCCCACCCGUCCUGGUGAAGCGGGAAAGGCCUCCGGGCCACCAGUAAUCUUUCAAUCAUCUGCAGUUUUGGAAAACGAUAGGUAUAAGUUGAGACAUGUAAAUGGUUCUAGUGUACAAAGUUCCCCAUGAAAACUUACGCGAAGUACCUCGAGGCCCGUCAGGCCUACUAGAAAUUUCUGAAAAUUAUAGUGACGAUGACGUGACGGCGUACACAGAUGGGUUAAGUAAUCUUAUUCAUGAAACUGAUCUUAAUGAUGACGACUCUAUCACUGACAAUAGAAGCGACAUUUUUGUUCGCAAAUAGCGAUA